This 585-nucleotide ribosomal RNA is filed under the name Chalcorana mocquardi. RNAcentral's name for it is "Hylarana mocquardi partial 12S ribosomal RNA". The stretch from base 1 to 460 matches the Rfam family "Bacterial small subunit ribosomal RNA", at positions 879 to 1533 of the family's 1533-position model. Lineage: Eukaryota; Metazoa; Chordata; Amphibia; Anura; Ranidae. The record is from RNAcentral.
AUUACGAGCAACGCUUAAAACCCAAAGGAUUUGACGGUGUCCCAUCCCCCUAGAGGAGCCUGUUCUAUAAUCGAUAACCCCCGCUAUACCUCACCACUCCUAGCUUUCUCAGUCUGUAUACCUCCGUCGAAAGCCUACCAUAUGAAUGCUCUUAGUAGGCACAAUGAUACCCACCAACACGUCAGGUCAAGGUGCAGCUCACGCAGUGGAAAGUAAUGGGCUACAAUUUCUAAAUUAGAACAAACGAAAGACUGUAUGAAAUUACAGUCACGAAGGCGGAUUUAGUAGUAAAAAGAAAAUAGAGUGUUCUCUUUAACCCGGCUCUGGGACGCGUACACACCGCCCGUCACCCUCUUCAAUCCAUACCAUCUCUGUUUAUAACAAACCAACCCCCCCCCCAAGAAGAGGCAAGUCGUAACAUGGUAAGUGUACUGGAAAGUGCGCUUGGUAUACUCCAAAAUGUAGCUUAACCAAAGCCUCCCGCUUACACCGAGACAACACCUGUUUAAACCAGGUCAUUUUGAGCUCACAAUCUAGCCCACAUCCUACCUAUGUUGCCUUCAACUUAUUAAUUCUUUAAUAAAA